AAGUAGUAAAACCUUAAAGUCACAUCUGAAGUGCACAGGAAGCCAGUGCAGGUGAGCCAGUACAGGCGUAAUGUGAUCAAACUUUCUUGUUCUUUUCAAAAGUCUAGCAGCCGCAUUUUGUACCAACUGUAAUCUUUUAACGCUAGACAUGGGGAGACCCGAAAAUAAUACGCAGUCCUCUCCAAGGUUUCUCAUAGUCAUCAUUGUCACCGACGUCCCACUGGGUGUGAGUUUUCCUUGCCCUUAUGUGGGCCUACCGAGGAUGUCGUUGUGGUUUGUACAGCCCGUUGAGACACUAGUGAUUUAGGGCUAUAUAAAUAAUCAUUGAUUGAUUGGCGACCAAAAGUUGCUAACUUUAUCGUCGAUGUUCUCUACUAAAUCCUUUCGGCAAAAAUAUGUAUGCCUUUAACAAGCGAUGUGCAUCAGUUUUUGAGACAACACCGGUAUGGGCGGCUGACAUCCAUACGUCCAUGGACCAGGACCAGGACCAGCACCAGGACCAGCACCAGGACCAGUUCUACGUUGACACGGCCCGGUGAACCCUGCCUCCCCCGCCCCGCCCCCACACGGCAAGUGUUACCUGUAGCGUCGUAAUGUGUUUGUCGUUGAAUUUGUUCUCGCAGUAUCGCAGCACCAUGGACGUCUUGCCCACGCAGCCUUCCCCCAGCAGCACCACCUUGAAGGAGAAGCUUUUGCCGCCGCCCGCUGCCGCCAUGGCGGCCACUCGCUGUGUCACAACAAGCUAGCUGCUAAUGCUAAGGCUAAGGCGCCUCCUGCGUCGCUCACAUCAGCUCGGGGGGGGAAAUAGCCGAGAAAUGAAGAAACACGCGUCGACACCUGAGGUGGAACACCGAAAUAGACAUGUAGGACGUACACUCAAAGCCAGGUGGUGUUGUCGUCAGUCUGACGUGAACGGCUGAUUUUCACCAACGAAUGGCGUCUCUUUGACUUAGCUCCAG
This is a long non-coding RNA of Nerophis ophidion (straightnose pipefish), 959 nucleotides long. RefSeq lists it as uncharacterized. Lineage: Eukaryota; Metazoa; Chordata; Actinopteri; Syngnathiformes; Syngnathidae. The record is from RefSeq and is a predicted model, not a curated record. The transcript has 2 exons.